CCUACGGGAGGCAGCAGUGAGGAAUAUUGGUCAAUGGACGAGAGUCUGAACCAGCCAAGUAGCGUGAAGGAUGACUGCCCUAUUGGUUGUAAACUUCUUUUAUAUGGGAAUAAAACAGGGUAUGCAUACCCUCUUGUAUGUACCAUAUGAAUAAGUAUCGGCUAACUCCGUUCCAGCAGCCGCGGUAAUACGGAGGAUCCGAGCGUUAUCCGGAUUUAUUGGGUUUAAAGGGAGCGUAGGUGGAUUGUUAAGUCAGUUGUGAAAGUUUGCGGCUCAACCGUAAAAUUGCAGUUGAAACUGGCAGUCGUGAGUACAGUAGAGGUGGGCGGAAUUCGUGGUGUAGCGGUGAAAUGCUUAGAUAUCACGAAGAACUCCGAUUGCGAAGGCAGCUCACUGGACUGCAACUGACGCUGAUGCUCGAAAGUGUGGGUAUCAAACAGGAUUAGAUACCCGAGUAGUC
Molecule: ribosomal RNA, 460 nt
Filed under: uncultured bacterium
Lineage: Bacteria
Description: partial 16S ribosomal RNA
Rfam family: Bacterial small subunit ribosomal RNA
Source: RNAcentral